CCUACGGGGGGCUGCAGUGGGGAAUAUUGGACAAUGGGGGCAACCCUGAUCCAGCCAUGCCGCGUGUGUGAAGAAGGCCCUCGGGUUGUAAAGCACUUUCAGUGAGGAAGAACGCCUGGUGGUUAAUACCCAUCAGGAAAGACAUCACUCACAGAAGAAGCACCGGCUAACUCCGUGCCAGCAGCCGCGGUAAUACGGAGGGUGCGAGCGUUAAUCGGAAUUAUUGGGCGUAAAGCGCGCGUAGGUGGCUUGAUAAGCCGGUUGUGAAAGCCCCGGGCUCAACCUGGGAACGGCAUCCGGAACUGUCAAGCUAGAGUGCAGGAGAGGAAGGUAGAAUUCCCGGUGUAGCGGUGAAAUGCGUAGAGAUCGGGAGGAAUACCAGUGGCGAAGGCGGCCUUCUGGACUGACACUGACACUGAGGUGCGAAAGCGUGGGUAGCAAACAGGAUUAGAUACCCUUGUAGUC
Molecule: ribosomal RNA, 465 nt
Filed under: Vreelandella stevensii
Lineage: Bacteria; Pseudomonadati; Pseudomonadota; Gammaproteobacteria; Oceanospirillales; Halomonadaceae
Description: partial 16S ribosomal RNA
Rfam family: Bacterial small subunit ribosomal RNA
Source: RNAcentral